RNAcentral lists this ribosomal RNA (1537 nucleotides) under Klebsiella pneumoniae. Its description in RNAcentral is "bacterial SSU rRNA". It matches the Rfam family "Bacterial small subunit ribosomal RNA". Lineage: Bacteria; Pseudomonadati; Pseudomonadota; Gammaproteobacteria; Enterobacterales; Enterobacteriaceae. The record is from RNAcentral.
AUUGAAGAGUUUGAUCAUGGCUCAGAUUGAACGCUGGCGGCAGGCCUAACACAUGCAAGUCGAGCGGUAGCACAGAGAGCUUGCUCUCGGGUGACGAGCGGCGGACGGGUGAGUAAUGUCUGGGAAACUGCCUGAUGGAGGGGGAUAACUACUGGAAACGGUAGCUAAUACCGCAUAACGUCGCAAGACCAAAGUGGGGGACCUUCGGGCCUCAUGCCAUCAGAUGUGCCCAGAUGGGAUUAGCUAGUAGGUGGGGUAACGGCUCACCUAGGCGACGAUCCCUAGCUGGUCUGAGAGGAUGACCAGCCACACUGGAACUGAGACACGGUCCAGACUCCUACGGGAGGCAGCAGUGGGGAAUAUUGCACAAUGGGCGCAAGCCUGAUGCAGCCAUGCCGCGUGUGUGAAGAAGGCCUUCGGGUUGUAAAGCACUUUCAGCGGGGAGGAAGGCGUUAAGGUUAAUAACCUUGGCGAUUGACGUUACCCGCAGAAGAAGCACCGGCUAACUCCGUGCCAGCAGCCGCGGUAAUACGGAGGGUGCAAGCGUUAAUCGGAAUUACUGGGCGUAAAGCGCACGCAGGCGGUCUGUCAAGUCGGAUGUGAAAUCCCCGGGCUUAACCUGGGAACUGCAUUCGAAACUGGCUGGCUAGAGUCUUGUAGAGGGGGGUAGAAUUCCAGGUGUAGCGGUGAAAUGCGUAGAGAUCUGGAGGAAUACCGGUGGCGAAGGCGGCCCCCUGGACAAAGACUGACGCUCAGGUGCGAAAGCGUGGGGAGCAAACAGGAUUAGAUACCCUGGUAGUCCACGCCGUAAACGAUGUCGAUUUGGAGGUUGUGCCCUUGAGGCGUGGCUUCCGGAGCUAACGCGUUAAAUCGACCGCCUGGGGAGUACGGCCGCAAGGUUAAAACUCAAAUGAAUUGACGGGGGCCCGCACAAGCGGUGGAGCAUGUGGUUUAAUUCGAUGCAACGCGAAGAACCUUACCUGGUCUUGACAUCCACAGAACUUAGCAGAGAUGCUUUGGUGCCUUCGGGAACUGUGAGACAGGUGCUGCAUGGCUGUCGUCAGCUCGUGUUGUGAAAUGUUGGGUUAAGUCCCGCAACGAGCGCAACCCUUAUCCUUUGUUGCCAGCGGUCCGGCCGGGAACUCAAAGGAGACUGCCAGUGAUAAACUGGAGGAAGGUGGGGAUGACGUCAAGUCAUCAUGGCCCUUACGACCAGGGCUACACACGUGCUACAAUGGCAUAUACAAAGAGAAGCGACCUCGCGAGAGCAAGCGGACCUCAUAAAGUAUGUCGUAGUCCGGAUUGGAGUCUGCAACUCGACUCCAUGAAGUCGGAAUCGCUAGUAAUCGUAGAUCAGAAUGCUACGGUGAAUACGUUCCCGGGCCUUGUACACACCGCCCGUCACACCAUGGGAGUGGGUUGCAAAAGAAGUAGGUAGCUUAACCUUCGGGAGGGCGCUUACCACUUUGUGAUUCAUGACUGGGGUGAAGUCGUAACAAGGUAACCGUAGGGGAACCUGCGGUUGGAUCACCUCCUU